GGAAGUAAAAGUCGUAACAAGGUUUCCGUAGGUGAACCUGCGGAAGGAUCAUUCACAAACGAGUGUUUUAUGGCACUCUUUAAAAAUCCAUAUCCACCUUGUGUGCAAUGUUUGUUGGGAAAGUCUUUUCUUUCCCUUCAUAAAUAUCAACCUAUAUCUUUAACAACAUUCGUCUGAUAACAUAUUAUGAAUAUACUUAAUUCAAAAUAUAACUUUCAACAACGGAUCUCUUGGCUCUCGCAUCGAUGAAGAACGCAGCGAAAUGCGAUACGUAAUGUGAAUUGCAGAAUUCAGUGAAUCAUCGAAUCUUUGAACGCAUAUUGCGCUCUUUGGUAUUCCGAAGAGCAUGCUUGUUUGAGUAUCAGUAAACACCUCAACCUCUCUUUUUUGAUAAAAAAAAGGGAGGGUGGACUUGAGCUAUCCCAACGACCUUCACCGGUAGGCGGGCGGCUUGAAAUGCAGGUGCAGCUGGACUUUUAUCUGAGCUAAAAGCAUAUCUAUUUAGUCCUCGUCAAACAGGAUUAUUACUUUUGCUGCAGCUAACAUAAAGGAUAAUUGUCCUCUUUGCUGACUGAUGCAGGAUUUUACGACACUUUAUGUGUUGUUCAACUCGAUCUCAAAUCAAGUAAGACUACCCGCUGAACUUAAGCAUAUCAAUAAGCGGAGGAAAAGAAACUAACAAGGAUUCCCCUAGUAACGGCGAGUGAAGCGGGAUGAGCUCAAAUUUGAAAUCUGGCUGGUUUACUAGUCCGAGUUGUAAUUUAAAGAAGCGUUUUCGGUGGCAGCCUGGGUAUAAAUCCUUUGGAAUAGGGUAUCAUAGGGGGUGAGAAUCCCGUCUUUGACCUAGUGCAUGCUACUAUGUGAUACGUUUUCAAAGAGUC
Molecule: small RNA, 881 nt
Filed under: uncultured Mortierella
Lineage: Eukaryota; Fungi; Mortierellomycota; Mortierellomycetes; Mortierellales; Mortierellaceae
Description: eukaryotic LSU rRNA
Rfam family: Eukaryotic large subunit ribosomal RNA (bases 612-881)
Source: RNAcentral